GACGAACGCUGGCGGCGUGCUUAACACAUGCAAGUCGAACGGAAAGGCCCUGCUUUUGCGGGGUGCUCGAGUGGCGAACGGGUGAGUAACACGUGAGUAACCUGCCCCUGUCUUUGGGAUAACUUCAGGAAACUGGGGCGAAUACCGGAUAGGAGCUCCUGCUGCAUGGGGGGGGUUGGAAAGUUUCGGCGGUUGGGGCUGGACUCGCGGGUUAUGAGCUUGUUGGUGGGGUAGUGGCUUACCAAGGCUUUGACGGGUAGCCGGCCUGGGAGGGUGACCGGCCACAUUGGGCCUGCGAUACGGCCCAGACUCCUACGGGAGGCAGCAGUGGGGAAUAUUGCACAAUGGGCGGACGCCUGAUGCAGCAACGCCGCGUGCGGGAUGACGGCCUUCGGGUUGUAAACCGCUUUCGCCUGUGCCGAAGCGUGAGUGACGGUAAUGGGUAAAGAAGCACCGGCUAACUACGUG
RNAcentral lists this ribosomal RNA (468 nucleotides) under uncultured bacterium. Its description in RNAcentral is "partial 16S ribosomal RNA". It matches the Rfam family "Bacterial small subunit ribosomal RNA", at positions 28 to 507 of the family's 1533-position model. The record is from RNAcentral.